Tricholoma furcatifolium is the source of this 80-nucleotide non-coding RNA. The record is from the annotation of a GenBank genome assembly. NCBI's taxonomy places the organism in Eukaryota, Fungi, Basidiomycota, Agaricomycetes, Agaricales, Tricholomataceae.
ACACUGAUGGUGAAGUGGUUAUCAUGCUUGCCUUCCAAGUGGUUCAGCAAGCGGCAGGGGUUCGAUUCCCCUUCAGUGUA